UCCUUUGCCAUGCCGCUGCAAGGUCAUAAAGUAGAUAAAACUUAAGUUGCAAUUCCGGUUUUCCUCAAGAUCUGAGACAUGUUAAUUGUCUUUGUUUCUCGCUCUGGUAACAUCUUCCCGCUGCACAUAUUUCCCGCCUUAAAGAGUUUAAAAGGUGAUCAAAAAAUCUAACACUGGCCACCCGCUCGGGACACCUUCCACGCUGUGGAAGCUUUGUACUGUCAUUCUGCUCAGUAAAGCCUACAGCCUUUUUUCUCUCGGUCGGGUCCACGUCUCUCUCUCUUGCCGCGGGCUGCCGCCACCCCAACCCUUUGGCGUGGCUAAGGCAACAACCUUUGGUGUUACCCUGGUUUGCAAAGAGGAAUGCCCUCUCCAAACAUGCCUAUCGAAUAAGGUCCUGUUCAUGAUGCAAAUCUCUAUGUGAUCUUCCUCCGGAAUUCUUGAGCCCAUUCCUGGAACUGUGUGAUAACUUGCCCAGAAAAUCUUCUUGUGGAAUCUGUCUUUACAUGGAAAAGACUUGGCAAUAUUUGUACAGCAACUGGAAGAAAGGUCUUUGCUGAGAUAUACAAAGAGGCAGAAUGUGUGUGGAUCACCGAUUAGACAAGGCGAAUAGGAGCAGAAUAGAAGAGGAAUGGAAUAGAACUCAAGAUGAUAAAACAUACUGUGUCCAGAAUUUAUUCCUUCCAGUGGGCUGUUGGUCUCACUGACUUUAAGAAUGAAGCUGCGGACCCUCGUG
RNAcentral lists this long non-coding RNA (736 nucleotides) under Homo sapiens (human). RNAcentral describes it as "HSALNT0310128". The record is from RNAcentral. Lineage: Eukaryota; Metazoa; Chordata; Mammalia; Primates; Hominidae.